Molecule: ribosomal RNA, 806 nt
Filed under: uncultured bacterium
Lineage: Bacteria
Description: bacterial SSU rRNA
Rfam family: Bacterial small subunit ribosomal RNA
Source: RNAcentral
AGAGUUUGAUCAUGGCUCAGGACGAACGCUGGCGGCAUGCCUAAUACAUGCAAGUCGAACGCUGAAGCACUCUGCUUGCAGAGUGCGGAUGAGUGGCGAACGGGUGAGUAACACGUGGGGAAUCUGCCUAGGAGUGGGGGAUAACAUUCGGAAACGGAUGCUAAUACCGCAUAUCUUCUUAGACCGCAUGGUCUAUGAAUGAAAGACGGCUUUGCUGUCGCUCUUAGAUGAUCCCGCGGCGUAUUAGUUAGUUGGUGGGGUAAAGGCCUACCAAGACAAUGAUACGUAGCCGACCUGAGAGGGUGAUCGGCCACACUGGGACUGAGACACGGCCCAGACUCCUACGGGAGGCAGCAGUAGGGAAUCUUCCACAAUGGGUGCAAACCUGAUGGAGCAAUGCCGCGUGAAUGAAGAAGGUCUUCGGAUCGUAAAGUUCUGUUAUUAGUGAAGAACAAAUCGAGGAGUAACUGUCUCGAUUUUGACGGUAACUAACCAGAAAGUCACGGCUAACUACGUGCCAGCAGCCGCGGUAAUACGUAGGUGACAAGCGUUGUCCGGAAUUAUUGGGCGUAAAGCGCGCGUAGGCGGUUUUUUAAGUCUGAUGUGAAAGCCCACGGCUCAACCGUGGAGGGUCAUUGGAAACUGGAAAGCUUGAGUGCAGAAGAGGAAAGUGGAAUUCCAUGUGUAGCGGUGAAAUGCGCAGAGAUAUGGAGGAACACCAGUGGCGAAGGCGACUUUCUGGUCUGUAACUGACGCUGAUGUGCGAAAGCGUGGGGAUCAAACAGGAUUAGAUACCCUGGUAGUCC